This 796-nucleotide small RNA is filed under the name Ampullifera seudatica. RNAcentral describes it as "eukaryotic LSU rRNA". It matches the Rfam family "Eukaryotic large subunit ribosomal RNA", at positions 50 to 880 of the family's 3401-position model. The record is from RNAcentral. Lineage: Eukaryota; Fungi; Ascomycota; Dothideomycetes.
GCGGAGGAAAAGAAACCAACAGGGAUUGCCCUAGUAACGGCGAGUGAAGCGGCAACAGCUCAAAUUUGAAAUCUGGCUUCGGCCCGAGUUGUAAUUUGCAGAGGAAGCUUUAGGCGCGGCACCUCCUGAGUCCCCUGGAACGGGGCGCCACAGAGGGUGAGAGCCCCGUAUAGUUGGAUGCCUAGCCUGUGUAAAGCUCCUUCGACGAGUCGAGUAGUUUGGGAAUGCUGCUCAAAAUGGGAGGUAAAUUUCUUCUAAAGCUAAAUACCGGCCAGAGACCGAUAGCGCACAAGUAGAGUGAUCGAAAGAUGAAAAGCACUUUGAAAAGAGGGUUAAAUAGCACGUGAAAUUGUUGAAAGGGAAGCGCUUGUGACCAGACUUGCGCCGGGCUGAUCAUCCGGUGUUCUCACCGGUGCACUCUGCCCGGCUCAGGCCAGCAUCGGUUCUCGCGGGGGGAUAAAGGCCCUGGGAACGUAGCUCCUCCGGGAGUGUUAUAGCCCGGGGCGCAAUGCCCUCGCGGGGACCGAGGUUCGCGCUCUGCAAGGAUGCUGGCGUAAUGGUCAUCAGCGACCCGUCUUGAAACACGGACCAAGGAGUCAAGGUUUUGCGCGAGUGUUUGGGUGUAAAACCCGCACGCGUAAUGAAAGUGAACGUAGGUGAGAGCUUCGGCGCAUCAUCGACCGAUCCUGAUGUUCUCGGAUGGAUUUGAGUAGGAGCGUUAAGCCUUGGACCCGAAAGAUGGUGAACUAUGCUUGGAUAGGGUGAAGCCAGAGGAAACUCUGGUGGAGGCUCGCAG